Molecule: long non-coding RNA, 799 nt
Organism: Anguilla anguilla (European eel)
Lineage: Eukaryota; Metazoa; Chordata; Actinopteri; Anguilliformes; Anguillidae
Exons: 3
Source: RefSeq, a predicted model, not a curated record
GCCAUCUACACAGCUGGUGCACCUUCCCCGAGACUGCACAGAGAAGGAAGGAAAAAAACUCCGAAAUGAAGCUUGAGGCCCAGAUGAAGUCAAGUGCUCACACCCACAUAUUCUACCCAGCCGGCGUGACUGCACUGGCUAAAUCCAGGACACUGGCAGGAGCUGUCAUCUUCUUCUUCAAUGGUGUUUAUUGCCGGCUUGUAACAUACAUGGAAGCCUGCUUUGCCCUAAUGGAGUUCUGCAGUUUGUACAGCCGUCUGCCAUCUUUGCCAUGGCUCCCCUGCUCCUGCCACUCUGCCACACAGCCGACCUGAUGAUCCUAAUGGGACCUUAAUAUCAAUCACUUCCUGCUUUAAUGCCUUUUUUGGCUAUUUGUCUGCUACUUCAUUUCUGGCUGGAUCCAUCUGUUUUUGGUUCGGGUGUCUGGUAAAGCCGGUUCAACUAGCUUUAGCUAACUACUCAGCCUGCAGUGCUGUAAUAACUUGUUUAGCCAGCAGGCUAAUAACGGGUAAGAAUGUCUUGCGCAGGUGCUACAUGAAUAAGCACACGGGUCACAUACUCCGCGUUGUGUCCAGUAAGGGGCCGGUAGUCGGUACAUGAAAUGACACCUGGAGCGGGAACGGGUGGAUGCCGUAGCACAUGGAAAUAGCCAGCACCGCUACACCGGCAAAUAUGCAGCCAGCUGCCCUCCGAGAACCCGCCGGGACCCCACAGAGACCCCGCGAGAACCCACCAGGACCCUGCCUGAAACCCGCCGGGACCCUGCCUGGAACCCGCCGGGAACCUGCCUGAAACCCGC